This 253-nucleotide ribosomal RNA is filed under the name uncultured bacterium. Its description in RNAcentral is "partial 16S ribosomal RNA". It matches the Rfam family "Bacterial small subunit ribosomal RNA", at positions 524 to 777 of the family's 1533-position model. The record is from RNAcentral.
UACGUAGGGGGCUAGCGUUGUCCGGAAUCAUUGGGCGUAAAGAGCGUGUAGGCGGCUAUACAGGUCCGUUGUGAAAACUCGAGCUCAACCUCGAGACGCCGAUGGAAACCGUAUGGCUAGAGUCCGGAAGAGGAGAGUGGAAUUCCUGGUGUAGCGGUGAAAUUCGUAGAUAUUCGGAAGAACACCAGUGGCGAAGGCGACUUACUGGACACAUAUUGACGCUGAGGUGCGAAAGCGUGGGGAGCAAACAGGG